Molecule: long non-coding RNA, 243 nt
Filed under: Lathyrus oleraceus (garden pea)
Lineage: Eukaryota; Viridiplantae; Streptophyta; Magnoliopsida; Fabales; Fabaceae
Description: Pisum sativum (pea) long non-coding RNA (PSAT_LNC005912)
Source: RNAcentral
UUGCUGUAAAAUUGUGAUGUUCAAAUGGAAAGAAAAAUGAUCGUAAGAUGAAUAUGUUUACAAGAAGUUUAUUAUAUUUAUAGUAAUGCAGGUGAGAUUUGGAUGACAAAAUAGUUCUAGUCUAGUAGUAGAAACAUUGUUCUAGGUUCUGGGUUUGAUCCUUGGGUUCUAGCAUUUCUUAUUUUUAACGUACUUUCUAUUUCCUACUAGUUUUUUUAUUAUUAUUACCAUUUUUUAUUAUUU